CCCCUAGAUGUCCUGGGCCGCACGCGCAAUACAAUGUAAAGUUCAGAAAGCAUAUCCUGUUCCGGAAGGCAAUGGGUAAUCUUUUCAAUAUUUUACGUGUUAGGGAUCGAUCUUUGCAAUUAUAGAUCGUGAACGAGGAAUUCCUAGUAAGUGCAAGUCAUCAGCUUGCGCUGAUUACGUCCCUGCCCUUUGUACACACCGCCCGUCGCUACUACCGAUUGAAUGGUUUAGUGAGAUCUUUGGAUUGGCGCUGUGGGGGUGGCAACGCUCCUUCAGAUUGCUGAGAAAUUGCUCAAACUUGAUCAUUUAGAGGAAGGAGAAGUCGUAACA
RNAcentral lists this ribosomal RNA (330 nucleotides) under uncultured eukaryote. Its description in RNAcentral is "partial 18S ribosomal RNA". It matches the Rfam family "Eukaryotic small subunit ribosomal RNA", at positions 1470 to 1796 of the family's 1831-position model. The record is from RNAcentral.